ACUCCUUAGGGUAAUUUGAGUGGUAUCAACAAAUCCUCAAACCUGGUUGAUGAAUUAUGGCCGUGCGAUCUGAGUGUGAUUAACGGUUCAGAACCUUCUCGGAGGCCCCCACACUAGAGAGGAUCGCUAUCUGGUUAGGUCUUGAACUUACCUGUGUAGUCGCAUAGUUGUCUGACAGGCU
RNAcentral lists this small nucleolar RNA (181 nucleotides) under Brassica rapa (field mustard). RNAcentral describes it as "snoRNA Plant_U3". Lineage: Eukaryota; Viridiplantae; Streptophyta; Magnoliopsida; Brassicales; Brassicaceae. The record is from RNAcentral.